CCGCCCUCCCCACAGCCGCCCUCCUCCGGCUUCCGCAGCGCUCGGACACAGCAGUGGGCACACGGCAGCCACCGACCCGCGCUACUCUGCCCCUUCCCCAGCCCCUCCACACCCAGAAGUCCCCCCAGCCGCCAGGACCCACCCAGGGCACUGAGGCCAUCGUCCCAAGGCCAGAGUCCCAAGGCAGGGAAGCAAGUCUGUGGUUACAGCGACUGGAGGAGAUCUGGAAUGACUAGACAGGCUUCAGCACACAUAGGCAAAGCCCUGCUAAGCUCCAGUGCUGCCCUGGCACCGUGGAGCCCCCCGGCACUUGGAGGGCAGAGUGCUUAGCUGGGAGGGCAGGAGAGGCACCCACUCACCAGCAGGCUCCUCUGCAUCCUGUACCUGGGAUCACCAGCUGUGCCCAGCUGUGCUGUCUCCCACUGCAUCACUGCCAUCCAGGAAGACCAGUGGACCUGAGCUGGACACACACAGGAUCACCACCCUCCUUCACCUAUGUCUGUCCAAGGGGACUCCCCCUGCUCUGAUGGUGACAGCGGACAAGUCAAUGAAGCCGCCUCCCUGCCUGCUUCCAAGGUCCUGUGCUCAGUCACUGCCAUGCUCUGUCCCUGCCUGGAUCCCCUCUCACGUGUGUUGGCCUGACCCUACCCACCCCAGAGACUUCCAAGCCAGCCACUGGAUCCUGAGGGUUUCUUCGUCUGGGCACAUCAGCUGCUCAGUCCAACAGGAAUGGACCCAUCUUUUGCUAGUGGAAGGGUGACUCCCUGGAGGUUAGUGAAGAAUUAGAAAUAAUUUAAUUUACCUCCCUGUUCGGGUGCUUUGAUGAGCUGAAAAGCCCCUUGUCAGGAAGCAAAUCCAUCUUCCUCCAGCCUUACAUCAAAUUUCAUUCACUAAUUAGAAACUCCUGCCCUAGACCAUGCUGCCCCCACCCUGGCCACCCCUUUUCCCCACCAGCACCAUUAUGAAAAUAAAUUGUUCCAUUAGCUGCA
Molecule: long non-coding RNA, 989 nt
Filed under: Cyanistes caeruleus (blue tit)
Lineage: Eukaryota; Metazoa; Chordata; Aves; Passeriformes; Paridae
Description: lncRNA (ENSCCEG00000024465.1)
Source: RNAcentral